UACUUGGUGAAUUGUUGGAUC
This 21-nucleotide microRNA is filed under the name Glycine max (soybean). Its description in RNAcentral is "gma-miR5559". The record is from miRBase by way of RNAcentral. Lineage: Eukaryota; Viridiplantae; Streptophyta; Magnoliopsida; Fabales; Fabaceae. RNAcentral also lists the same sequence under 1 other name.